RNAcentral lists this ribosomal RNA (783 nucleotides) under Streptomyces sp. RNAcentral's name for it is "bacterial SSU rRNA". It matches the Rfam family "Bacterial small subunit ribosomal RNA", at positions 56 to 855 of the family's 1533-position model. Lineage: Bacteria; Bacillati; Actinomycetota; Actinomycetes; Kitasatosporales; Streptomycetaceae. The record is from RNAcentral.
UGCAGUCGACGAUGACCGCUUUCGGGCGGGGAUUAGUGGCGAACGGGUGAGUAACACGUGGGCAAUCUGCCCUGCACUCUGGGACAAGCCCUGGAAACGGGGUCUAAUACCGGAUAUGACUGUCCAUCGCAUGGUGGAUGGUGUAAAGCUCCGGCGGUGCAGGAUGAGCCCGCGGCCUAUCAGCUUGUUGGUGAGGUAGUGGCUCACCAAGGCGACGACGGGUAGCCGGCCUGAGAGGGCGACCGGCCACACUGGGACUGAGACACGGCCCAGACUCCUACGGGAGGCAGCAGUGGGGAAUAUUGCACAAUGGGCGAAAGCCUGAUGCAGCGACGCCGCGUGAGGGAUGACGGCCUUCGGGUUGUAAACCUCUUUCAGCAGGGAAGAAGCGAAAGUGACGGUACCUGCAGAAGAAGCGCCGGCUAACUACGUGCCAGCAGCCGCGGUAAUACGUAGGGCGCAAGCGUUGUCCGGAAUUAUUGGGCGUAAAGAGCUCGUAGGCGGCUUGUCACGUCGGUUGUGAAAGCCCGGGGCUUAACCCCGGGUCUGCAGUCGAUACGGGCAGGCUAGAGUUCGGUAGGGGAGAUCGGAAUUCCUGGUGUAGCGGUGAAAUGCGCAGAUAUCAGGAGGAACACCGGUGGCGAAGGCGGAUCUCUGGGCCGAUACUGACGCUGAGGAGCGAAAGCGUGGGGAGCGAACAGGAUUAGAUACCCUGGUAGUCCACGCCGUAAACGGUGGGCACUAGGUGUGGGCAACAUUCCACGUUGUCCGUGCCGCAGCUAA